GUUUCAUCUCUUUAUUGCUGCAGAAAUCUCACCACCAAUAUGUUACUGUUGAAUUUCAAUCAACAUCUUUUUCGUCUUACUUUGCAGAAUUUUGGCAUCCCAGAGAUUCAGUCAGCCCUACCUUGCAAGGAAAAAAAAAAAUGUUUUUUCCACAGCAG
Non-coding RNA from Anas platyrhynchos (mallard), 158 nucleotides. Lineage: Eukaryota; Metazoa; Chordata; Aves; Anseriformes; Anatidae. The record is from RefSeq and is a predicted model, not a curated record.